AGAAAAGUGAGUGCCGCCCCGCACAGGGGCAACGCUAAUAGACCACUAAGAAAGCAAGGAAAGGCCAACGCAGCAAGCGAACCAUCGAGGAGCCUAGUGCCCCGCAACCGCAA
This 113-nucleotide small RNA is filed under the name Paraburkholderia bryophila. RNAcentral describes it as "sRNA Bp1_Cand684_SIPHT". It matches the Rfam family "Burkholderia sRNA Bp1_Cand684_SIPHT". The record is from RNAcentral. Lineage: Bacteria; Pseudomonadati; Pseudomonadota; Betaproteobacteria; Burkholderiales; Burkholderiaceae.